GAUGUGGAUUAAUUCGAUGCAACGCGAAAAACCUUACCUACCCUUGACAUGGAUGGAAUCCUGAAGAGAUUUGGGAGUGCUCGAAAGAGAACCAUCACACAGGUGCUGCAUGGCUGUCGUCAGCUCGUGUCGUGAGAUGUUGGGUUAAGUCCCGCAACGAGCGCAACCCUUGUCAUUAGUUGCUACGAAAGGGCACUCUAAUGAGACUGCCGGUGACAAACCGGAGGAAGGUGGGGAUGACGUCAAGUCCUCAUGGCCCUUAUGGGUAGGGCUUCACACGUCAUACAAUGGUACAUACAGAGGGCCGCCAACCCGCGAGGGGGAGCUAAUCCCAGAAAGUGUAUCGUAGUCCGGAUUGGAGUCUGCAACUCGACUCCAUGAAGUUGGAAUCGCUAGUAAUCGCGGAUCAGCAUGUCGCGGUGAAUACGUUCCCGGGUCUUGUACACACCGCCCGUCACACCAUGGGAGCGGGUUUUACCAGAAGUGGGUAGCCUAACCGCAAGGAGGGCGCUCACCACGGUAGGAUUCGUGACUGGGGUGAAGUCGUAACAA
RNAcentral lists this ribosomal RNA (552 nucleotides) under Herbaspirillum huttiense subsp. huttiense. Its description in RNAcentral is "bacterial SSU rRNA". It matches the Rfam family "Bacterial small subunit ribosomal RNA", at positions 938 to 1494 of the family's 1533-position model. The record is from RNAcentral. Lineage: Bacteria; Pseudomonadati; Pseudomonadota; Betaproteobacteria; Burkholderiales; Oxalobacteraceae.